UUAAUUAAACAUUCUCGUUGAGCCAAAAGGCCAUCGAAAGACCACGGGGGCAAAGUCACGCCCUCCAUCCUAAUCUUCCUAAGACGUCUUCGCCCAGCCAAAGGAGACGACACGCAUAACACCUAUACAACGGAGUCACCUAUAAGAGAGGACCACCGGACGAUAGGAUUUAUUAAUUUAUAUACUACGAAUAACUGAAGAAAAGAACGACGCAGAAGCUCAAGGCGAGCAGUAACAACAAAAGUCAGCGGCAUACAAUAAAACACGUGAAACGUGACAAAUUCCAAAGCGAAACAGAAGUCAACUGGGCGGCGGCUGCGUGAGCGAGAGAGAGAGAGAGCGCGAGAGAGUGCGAAUUGAUAACCGGCGCUUGGCAACAACAAUCCCAAAGCCAAACAACACACACAUGCACUCUCUACUCGGCCGACAUUUUGUUUUUAUUACAGAGCGCAACAGUCGCGGCUUUUGUUGUUGUUUCUAUGAGGGCUUCACUUUAAAAAACGAAAUAAUAAUCAUAUGCUACGUCGGCCCCCUCUCUCUCUCGCUCGAACUUGAUCCAUUUGCUUUUCGUUUUUAAUCGAGACACGUUGAAAGUGGCAAACUAACCAAAACGUACAAAAAAAUAAUAAUAAAUAACAACUCAAAAUUCGUGACGCAUGACGUAAUUUCUCACGCGAGCCGAGCAUGUCAGCGAUUUGACACACACACAAGCGCACAUCUACACACACACUCACACGCACACCAGUGCAGCACUCAGUUGAUUCGGAUUUAAACAGUUCGAGCUCCAUAACAUGAACUAAUAUACCAACGAUUUCUUUUUUCAAAGGAAUUUUAAUUUUAACCAAAUGUUACCAUAUUAUUUGAAAACCUUUUGAAUUAUUGGUAAUACAUUUUAUAAAUCCAUAUUUUGCCAGUUUUAAUCACACUUAAGUUAGUUCGCGUUAAGCAGUGCUUACUGUGUCUCUUUGUGCUGGGCUUUCCAGCGUGUUGAUUGUAUUUAAAUGGCUCUCGGCUAUUUUUAGCCGCCCCAAAGGUCACACCAACACAAAAACAGGGUCCGUAAGCCGUACUCCACACUCCGUAAGCUCCAAAUCUGGUAAAUGUGAUCUGCGAUGACGAAUAACUCAGACGUGUUCAAUUGGGCACUGGGCUCUUGCAUAAGAGCGUAGCUUGUUUUUGUUUUGGUUUCGGCAUUUCGGCGAUCUCUCGCUUUAAUUGCAGUGCGGCGGCACGUGCAUCUGGUGUCGCCUUGCACGGCGUUACGUAUACGCCCCGUUCGGAUGUUACACAUACGCCCGGUUGGUGGUUGGUAGCAGCAGGGCACGUGCAAAGGCGCAAAAACUGGCUCGGGUUACUCAUGUGCCACAUUCUCGUAAUAACGCCCCACUUCCCCCCACCCACUCCAUGCAAUCUUAUCGCACUUGUAAUACAUUUACUUGCUCACAUGCUCCGACGUUUUUUCGGUCACGUGUUGUGUCCAUCGAAAUUGUAACGUAGUUCGGUGAAUUUCCACGAAUUGAAAUUUAUUCGUUUUCAUAUUGCAGCAAAUGUGGCUAAAAUGGAGUUGAAACUGUGUGACGAGCCCCGUGCACUUGUGGAUUGUUUACGUGUUUUCUCGUGUUUUCUAGCAGCUUAUCUAUCUCCGUCUGUAUUUGCUGUUUACCCCGCGAUUGCAUGGCUAAAGUUUAAUCACGAAAGCCGGAGGAAAACCCCAAACGACAACAAUUGCGACUGGCGUAGCUGGUGAAACUAUUUUUAAGAUACUUUUGUAAGCACUGCAUUGUGGAAUCCAUGGCGGAGUGGCGGCUAUGAAAUGAAAUGGAAUGUUAAGUAGAAAUCAAAUAAAUAAACAAUGGAAAUUGAAA
Long non-coding RNA from Drosophila sechellia, 1865 nucleotides. RefSeq lists it as uncharacterized. Lineage: Eukaryota; Metazoa; Arthropoda; Insecta; Diptera; Drosophilidae. The record is from RefSeq and is a predicted model, not a curated record. The transcript is spliced from 2 exons.